AUAAAAUCACACGUUGACUACUAUUAGUCUGCUUUAACAAAGUUUUGUAAGUGACUGGCCACUAAUCGCGUUUACCACAAAAGGAACUAACAAAGACUACCUUUUGAAAUUUUCUUUCAAUUCGGUGUUAAGAAUAAACGCACAAAUUAGUCAAAAUAGUUAGAAGAUCAAAUUUUGCGAUCGAAAAUAUUUAUCUGAUAAUAAUUGAUAUCGUAAAAGUGACUAUUAUUAUUCGUAAUCAGAUACAACGAAUUACAGAGUAUCGCAGUAAUAAACGAGUUAAUUAUAAGCAAUAUGCACACAUAUUUGGAUCGUCCUUUCUAUGAUUUUUUGGGUAAUGAGUGAGCGACAAGAUCGUACUUGGUAAUUUGAUUGAUAUUUCGUCGAAUAGGUUCUACCGCUUUACCAAAAGUAAUUAGUUAAUAAAGCUAAUACUUGGUAUCAAUUUUUGGGUAAACUUCUAUAGGUAAAAAAAAAAUGAUUUACGUUGAUUAAAUGUGCCACGUUCCACUUUUAAAAGCCGAAAACGUUUGAAAUUGCAUAUUUAUAUUAUUUUUAAUAGCUCAAUAUUCCAUUCAUACGCUUGCUUUAUGCAACGCCAAUCAUUGUUUAUUGAAAGAUACCAUCAUUUCUUGUAGCUCACAGAAACUUGGCCGAACGGCUGUUUAGAAGUAAAUAAAUAAGGAAU
Molecule: non-coding RNA, 688 nt
Organism: Schizosaccharomyces pombe (fission yeast)
Lineage: Eukaryota; Fungi; Ascomycota; Schizosaccharomycetes; Schizosaccharomycetales; Schizosaccharomycetaceae
Source: the annotation of a GenBank genome assembly